GCAAGUCUGGUGCCAGCAGCCGCGGUAAUUCCAGCUCCAAUAGCGUAUAUUAAAGUUGUUGCAGUUAAAAAGCUCGUAGUUGAAUUUCGGGAUCAAUAUUUCGGUCAUGCCGUUGGUAUGCACUGUUAUCAUUGAUUUCUCACCUUCUAAAGAACCAUAAUGCCAUUAAUUUGGUGUUACGGGGAAUUAGGACUGUUACCUUGAAAAAAUUAGAGUGUUUAAAGCAGGCUCACGCUUGAAUACAUUAGCAUGGAAUAAUGAAAUAGGACAUCCGAUUCUAUUUUGUUGGUUUCUAGAAUCGAUGUAAUGAUUAAUAGGGAUAGUUGGGGGCAUUAGUAUUCAAUUGUCAGAGGUGAAAUUCUUGGAUUUAUUGAAGACUAACUACUGCGAAAGCAUUUGCCAAGGAUGUUUUCAUUAAUCAAGAACGAAAGUUAGGGGAUCGAAGACGAUCAGAUACCGUCGUAGUCUUAACCAUAAACUAUGCCGACUAGGGAUCGGAUGAUGUUAAUUUUUUAAUGACUCAUUCGGCGCCUUACGGGAAAC
RNAcentral lists this ribosomal RNA (543 nucleotides) under uncultured Glomeromycotina. RNAcentral's name for it is "SSU rRNA". It matches the Rfam family "Eukaryotic small subunit ribosomal RNA", at positions 555 to 1098 of the family's 1831-position model. The record is from RNAcentral. Lineage: Eukaryota; Fungi; Glomeromycota.